Molecule: long non-coding RNA, 380 nt
Organism: Carlito syrichta (Philippine tarsier)
Lineage: Eukaryota; Metazoa; Chordata; Mammalia; Primates; Tarsiidae
Exons: 4
Source: RefSeq, a predicted model, not a curated record
UUUUAACCAAAGAUGGAACAGUACAGCUUGGAGAUUUUGGAAUUGCUAGAGUUCUUAAUAGUACUAUAGAGCUGGCUCGAACUUGCAUAUGGACCCCAUACUACUUGUCACCUGAAAUCUGCGAAAACAAACCGUACAAUAAUAAAAGUGACAUUUGGGCUCUGAGAUGUGUCCUGUACGAGAUGUGUACACUAAAACAUGCAUUUGAAGCUGGCAGUUUGAAAAACCUGGUACUGAAGAUCAUAUCUGGAUGUUUUCCACCGGUGUCUUUGCAUUAUUCCUAUGAUCUCCGCCGUUUGCUCUCUCAGUUAUUUAAAAGAAAUCCUAGGGACAGACCAUCUGUCAACUCCAUAUUGGAGAAAGCUUUAUAGCCAAACGCA